GCCCCCGUAGUUCAAUGGAUAGAACGGUCCCGUCCUAAGGGAGCGAUGUGUGUUCGAUUCACGCCGGGGGCA
Molecule: non-coding RNA, 72 nt
Organism: Parcubacteria group bacterium
Lineage: Bacteria
Source: Rfam